RNAcentral lists this ribosomal RNA (253 nucleotides) under uncultured bacterium. Its description in RNAcentral is "partial 16S ribosomal RNA". It matches the Rfam family "Bacterial small subunit ribosomal RNA", at positions 524 to 776 of the family's 1533-position model. The record is from RNAcentral.
UACAGAGGUCCCAAGCGUUGUUCGGAUUCACUGGGCGUAAAGGGCUCGUAGGUGGCCAACUAAGUCAGACGUGAAAUCCCUCGGCUUAACCGGGGAACUGCGUCUGAUACUGGAUGGCUUGAGUUCGGGAGAGGGAUGCGGAAUUCCAGGUGUAGCGGUGAAAUGCGUAGAUAUCUGGAGGAACACCGGUGGCGAAGGCGGCGUUCUGGACUGCAACUGACACUGAAAAACGAAAGCCAGGGGAGCAAACGGG